RNAcentral lists this ribosomal RNA (434 nucleotides) under uncultured Clostridium sp. Its description in RNAcentral is "partial 16S ribosomal RNA". It matches the Rfam family "Bacterial small subunit ribosomal RNA", at positions 341 to 792 of the family's 1533-position model. The record is from RNAcentral. Lineage: Bacteria; Bacillati; Bacillota; Clostridia; Eubacteriales; Clostridiaceae.
ACGGGAGGCAGCAGUGGGGAGUAUUGCACAAUGGGCGCAAGCCUGAUGUAGCAACGCCGCGUGAGUGAAGAAGUUAUUCGUAAUGUAAAGCUCUAUCAGCAGGGAAGAAAAUGACGGUACCUGACUAAGAAGCCCCGGCUAACUACGUGCCAGCAGCCGCGGUAAUACGUAGGGGGCAAGCGUUAUCCGGAUUUACUGGGUGUAAAGGGAGCGUAGACGGCUUUGUAAGUCUGAUGUGAAAGGCAGGGGCUCAACUCCUGGACUGCAUUGGAAACUACAGAGCUUGAGUGCCGGAGAGGUAAGCGGAAUUCCUAGUGUAGCGGUGAAAUGCGUAGAUAUUAGGAGGAACACCAGUGGCGAAGGCGGCUUACUGGACGGUAACUGACGUUGAGGCUCGAAAGCGUGGGGAGCAAACAGGAUUAGAUACCCUGGUA